Molecule: ribosomal RNA, 510 nt
Filed under: uncultured bacterium
Lineage: Bacteria
Description: partial 16S ribosomal RNA
Rfam family: Bacterial small subunit ribosomal RNA
Source: RNAcentral
GACGAACGCUGGCGGCGUGCUUAACACAUGCCAGUCGAACGAAGAGCGAUGGAAGCUUGCUUCUAUCAAUCUUAGUGGCGAACGGGUGAGUAACGCGUAAUCAACCUGCCCUUCAGAGGGGGACAACAGUUGGAAACGACUGCUAAUACCGCAUACGAUCUAAUCUCGGCAUCGAGGAUAGAUGAAAGGUGGCCUCUAUGUAUAAGCUAUCACUGAAGGAGGGGAUUGCGUCUGAUUAGCUAGUUGGAGGGGUAACGGCCCACCAAGGCGAUGAUCAGUAGCCGGUCUGAGAGGAUGAACGGCCACAUUGGGACUGAGACACGGCCCAGACUCCUACGGGAGGCAGCAGUGGGGAAUCUUCCGCAAUGGACGAAAGUCUGACGGAGCAACGCCGCGUGAGUGAUGACGGCCUUCGGGUUGUAAAGCUCUGUUAAUCGGGACGAAAGGCCUUCUUGCGAAUAGUGAGAAGGAUUGACGGUACCGGAAGAGAAAGCCACGGCUAACUACGUG